RNAcentral lists this ribosomal RNA (444 nucleotides) under uncultured bacterium. Its description in RNAcentral is "bacterial SSU rRNA". It matches the Rfam family "Bacterial small subunit ribosomal RNA", at positions 29 to 519 of the family's 1533-position model. The record is from RNAcentral.
AAUGAACGCUGGCGGCAUGCCUAACACAUGCAAGUCGAACGAAGCCUUCGGGCUUAGUGGCGCACGGGUGCGUAACGCGUGGGAAUCUGCCCUUGGGUUCGGAAUAACAGCGAGAAAUUGCUGCUAAUACCGGAUGAUGACGUAAGUCCAAAGAUUUAUCGCCCAAGGAUGAGCCCGCGUAGGAUUAGCUAGUUGGUGAGGUAAAGGCUCACCAAGGCGACGANCCUUAGCUGGUCUGAGAGGAUGAUCAGCCACACUGGGACUGAGACACGGCCCAGACUCCUACGGGAGGCAGCAGUGGGGAAUAUUGGACAAUGGGCGAAAGCCUGAUCCAGCAAUGCCGCGUGAGUGAUGAAGGCCUUAGGGUUGUAAAGCUCUUUACCCGGGAUGAUAAUGACAGUACCGGGAGAAUAAGCUCCGGCUAACUCCGUGCCAGCAGCCGCU